This 366-nucleotide ribosomal RNA is filed under the name Charaea flaviventris. RNAcentral describes it as "partial 16S ribosomal RNA". Lineage: Eukaryota; Metazoa; Arthropoda; Insecta; Coleoptera; Chrysomelidae. The record is from RNAcentral.
UUAAAUGGCCGCGGUAUAUUGACCGUGCUAAGGUAGCAUAAUCAUUAGUUUUUUAAUUGUAAGCUAGAAUGAAGGGUUGGAUGAAAAAAAAACUGUCUCUAAUUAAAUUAUCUAAAAUUUUAUUUUUAAGUAAAAAAGCUUAAAUUUAGUUAAAAGACGAGAAGACCCUAUAGAGUUUUAUAAAUUUAUAGAUUUUUUAUUUAGAAUUUAAAUUUAAUUUUUAAUAAAUUUAUUUAAUUGGGGUGAUUGAAAAAUUUAAUAAACUUUUUAUAUAUUUUUAUAUUAAUGUAUAAUUAUUUGAUCCAAGUAUUAUGAUUAAAAGAUAAAAUUACCUUAGGGAUAACAGCGUAAUUUUAUUAGAGAGUU